RNAcentral lists this ribosomal RNA (365 nucleotides) under uncultured bacterium. Its description in RNAcentral is "bacterial SSU rRNA". It matches the Rfam family "Bacterial small subunit ribosomal RNA", at positions 440 to 793 of the family's 1533-position model. The record is from RNAcentral.
CAGUGAGGAAGGUGGGUAUGUUAAUAGCAUACUCCAUUUGACGUUAGCUGCAGAAGAAGCACCGGCUAAACUCCGUGCCAGCAGCCGCGGUAAUACGGAGGGUGCGAGCGUUAAUCGGAAUUACUGGGCGUAAAGCGCAUGCAGGUGGUUUGUUAAGUCAGAUGUGAAAGCCCGGGGCUCAACCUCGGAAUUGCAUUUGAAACUGGCAAACUAGAGUACUGUAGAGGGGGUAGAAUUUCAGGUGUAGCGGUGAAAUGCGUAGAGAUCUGAAGGAAUACCGGUGGCGAAGGCGGCCCCCUGGACAGAUACUGACACUCACGAUGCGAAAGCGUGGGGACGCAAACAGGAUUAGACUACCCUGGUAG